GGUGAGGUUAAUUGAACAUCGGAGGUGUAUCGUGUCGGCAAGUGGCAAGUUUGUCCUGAAUACCCAAUUAAGUUACGUGUCCUGGUGGAAAUAGGAAAUAAACAAACAGUGAGACAGCUGUUCGUGGUUUACCUGUUUGUUUCCGAGGCCUUAUGGGAUGGAGCUGGCUGUCACAACAAAAUGAUAUACGACGGACAAUCAAGAGGUCAGCAGUGAAAUCCGGCACCCUGUAUUGGACAGUAUAUAUUUCUACACUAAUUACAAUUUCAAGGUGAGGCGGAACAAGAUUUUUUACGCGGCGUGAUGGGUCGAAGUUCAAGCGACAACCUGGCGAACAAAACAUGCUUGGAUCCCUCUUGGGGGCCUCUCAAUAACAUGGUGGGGAUGGAGGACGGGGACCGAUCUCGAGGUGAAGUAAUUGCCAAGAAGAAACAAAUAUUAAUAUAAGAAUAAUGUCUUGAAGUGAAGUAAUUACCAAAAAAAUAGAAGAAUGGUGAAGAAUAAGAGCCAGCAGGAUCAACCGCUCAAGUUGUCAGCUCCACAUCACGCUCACGUCUGUAGCGGAGAGGAAAGACCAUCGCUAUGGAACGGAGGGGAAUGAUGGUAACCGUCAUCGUAGUUACCCUGUGAAGAAGAUGGUAAGUUCACCUUCCUGCUUGUUUGGCGCUGCAGUUCCUUCAAGACAAACUAAAUCUCCAGCAGUACUGUAUACCUCACAAAAAAUAUCAUUAAGUCAAGUAAGAUCAUCUGCAGUUAUGUCUACAACAAGAGCAUCUUCAUGAAUCAAAUUGGCAAUGAGAUCAAACCACUUAAUAUAAAGGUUUUGUGUAUGUGUCACAACUUUCAACAGCACCCAUAAAACUAAAAGUUUGGAGAGACAUCACCCAAUACAAUAUCCCACAGGUCAGUACAAAGUCAAUUUAUGUAAAUACUACUUACAGUAACUCAAAGGUAAUUCAUAUGAAGCUAAAUUAUAAUAAUAAUUGUUCAAUCAUACAAAUACUGUAGUGCUGACAUCAAUACAGGGUGGGGGUCCAGCUUCUCAUUGUCUCAUUAUUAAGAUGCUGAUGACUUAGAGAAGGUCACUACACCUUGACACACUGAUUAAGGUUCUUUAGGGGUUUUUUCUAUUAGUAUUCUGGAUGUACUAAGUUGCUAAUAGUUUGAUGCAGAAUUCACUUUUAUUCCCCUAAGUGUGAUAGAUGGAUUUAUUCCACAUCCUACAAAGAAACUUUUCCCUCUCCUGAGUUGUUCAAGAACACCCCUCUCACUGCUUUGUUCAAAAUACCUGCUACAUCCUAGUGUGUGCCUGAAAUUUAAGUACUUUUCACCAAUAAUAUUUCAACGGCAAUUUUUUUUUUCUAUUAUAAACAUUAAUUUCUAAUCAAAGGGAAAAGGCAUUUUCACCCCCAAAGCCAAUAUAGGAAGACCUCAAAGCCCUGAUUUAGGAUAUGGGGUGUAAAACUUGCAAUUAUGGUCAUUACCGUACAUAUAAUGACUCUAGGAAUAUUUGGAACCCUAAUUACUCCCAACCUGUAUUGUAAUUUCUUAAAAACAAUUUUGUGUGUUUUUCUUUCAUUCUCAAUGUACCUGUACUAAGUUGUGGAAAGUGAUAUCUUAAUGAAACUUAGUGAGGCUACAGAAACAUAAUUACCGUUACAUAAAUUCAUUACUCAUUAAUUAAACUAAUAAAUGGGUCCCCCUGUAGUUAUGAAAUGUAAUAUUAACUUUAAAUUAUCCUAACCAGACCAAGUUCAGUUUUGGUUUAGUUUAAUUUCCACGAAUCAAGUUAGAUAUUUCCUAUGAUAUUAAAUGUAAAAUUUACUCUUUAUGUACAGGGGUUUUAAGAGGGAUAUGAAGUUGGAGGUUCCCUCUUAAAAGAAGCUACAGCCAUGCCAGGGCACUAAAGAUGAAAUGUAAAUACUCUCACUUCUAUUGAAAAUCUAUAGCUGGAAUGCAACCUUAAACACCUCAAGACCAGCCAGAGAACUAAAAGUUACCCGUGCAUUUUUAGAAUUCCCUUGUAUCUCGUGUUCAGUAACAUUUUGAGUUACAGGGUACACAUAAAAAUAAAGUAAAAUAUUCUAAAGAUUUGUGAUGUUUGCCAAUUCUGUCAUUAUUUAAUACACAUACAGGUAUUGCUCACUUAACAUAGCUUCACUUAAUGUACUGUACUGUCAUUAAAAUAUAGUUCACAACUUAGGUAAUGUAAUCCCGCAAUAAAUUCAAUGAUUUGCUGCUAAUUUAGUUAAACAAAAUAAGAGGCUAGUAGAUUUGUGCAUUCAUCACUGGUUAACACUAGUGUAUUUAUAUUACAGUAUAAAUAUAUAUACUAAUUUAUUGGGGCCCAAAAAGUUUUCCCUGGUAAAUAUCUCAAUUAACAAUAUGGGAGAGUACAGGUAUAGGAGGACAUGUUUUACUUACCAUAAUAUGAUUUUGGAAUUUGUAUAUGUUAAGUGAAAUAUACCUGUAGUGUACACCCACACACAAAGAUGGACAUACAGUAAACAGUUGUACUUGGAAGUACAGUAGUAUGACACAAAAUACGUUACUAAUUUCAUAUACAGUAUAGUCCUACGCCAUCAGAUAAAUAUUCCUUGUGUAUGUGCUCUUGCAGCUGGAAGAAAUGUACCUCUCUUAGAGUCCUAAUAAUAUCACUCAUUAUUGGUAAAAUCAGCAGGUAGUAUCAUGUCCAAUGGCAAAAUCAUAUGAUCACAGCAUAUAUUUAUAAUACAGAUCAUUGGAUACAUGAACAUCUCAGCAACCUUCUUUUCUGACUUAUGACUUAUCAUUAAUACUUUAUCCACCUAAUACAUAUGUAUAAAAUAUAAUUAUAAAAAUCUAU
Molecule: long non-coding RNA, 2845 nt
Filed under: Homarus americanus (American lobster)
Lineage: Eukaryota; Metazoa; Arthropoda; Malacostraca; Decapoda; Nephropidae
Description: uncharacterized LOC121870693, transcript variant X5
Source: RNAcentral